AAUUUAGAUACAGGUGCUGCACGGCUGUCGUCAGCUCGUGUCGUGAGAUGUUGGGUUAAGUCCCGCAACGAGCGCAACCUCGUGUUUAGUUGCUAACAGUUCGGCGUGAGAACUCUAAACAGACUGCCUACGCAAGUAGGAGGAAGGUGAGGACGACGUCAAGUCAUCAUGGCCCUUACGGCCAGGGCUACACACGUGCUACAAUGGGGUAUACAAAGAGCAGCGAUACGGUGACGUGGAGCAAAUCUAGAAAAUGCCUCUCAGUUCGGAUUGUAGUCUGCAACUCGACUACAUGAAGUUGGAAUCGCUAGUAAUCGUAGAUCAGCAAUGCUACGGUGAAUACGUUCCCGGGUCUU
This 356-nucleotide ribosomal RNA is filed under the name uncultured Arcobacter sp. RNAcentral describes it as "bacterial SSU rRNA". It matches the Rfam family "Bacterial small subunit ribosomal RNA", at positions 1025 to 1382 of the family's 1533-position model. Lineage: Bacteria; Pseudomonadati; Campylobacterota; Epsilonproteobacteria; Campylobacterales; Arcobacteraceae. The record is from RNAcentral.